UCGACCGCUGUUCCCUUAGGCUCAGAGGCACACGCAGGUCAACAUGUUUCUGCAAUAUUAUCAGGAAUGUAAACUUGUGUUCAACCGGCAAAGGAAUUUGAAUAAUGCAUUGGACAGUGUAUACUGAAGUAUGUGUGAAACACAUGAUCCAUUGAAAUGACACACAAUGUUGUUCUUCACUUCGAUUAACAAGGAGUUAUUGUGUGUGUGUGUGUGUGAGGAAAAAGCUAUCUUAGCUCUUCUUUUUUUUUUUGUUGAUAAGCCUAAAGCCAAUACUUUCAUUAUCAUCGGUGUCAGUACAGAGAAGUUUUGUUUUGCUGGUGCGACUAAUAAUACUGAUUGUGUUGAACUCCAAACCAAACCCAUUGGAUUUAAUAGUGGAAGAUGCAGAAAUGUAGGACUAAUUUUAGCAUCUGAUUUAAGCCAGAAAUAUAAAGACUUCAAAGACUCCUCCAGGGUUUUUGCAUAUUAAAACCAAAACUCUCAAUGAAAUGUGUUAGUUCAUUCCAGGUAAAAUGUACACAAUCUAUCCUCACUUGUGGCUGGUGUUUCCAGAGGCUGGAGAGGAGGUUUGAGUAUGCAGGCCCAGUGUUCUCACCUCCCACGAUCCAGAGUGUCAGAGAUGGCAAACCUCUACUCUCUGGCCACUGGACGACCUCCAUGCCCGACGGACCCUCCCAGGAGCCUGUGAACUUUGACCCUGAUCGCAUCAGCGCCUGGCUGGGACAGACGCACGGACACACCGUCCCCUCUAUAGCCCCCUCGGUCCAACCGCACAGAGCCUGCUCCAAGGCUGUCCAGACCGACAGUACUUGGAAGUGUGCUGGUUGCUCUGAGGGAAGCCACAGUCUCAGGUACAUCCCUGUUCAGACACACCUCCAGGAGCUGUGUUUGACCCCCUACACCUUACAGUCAUGUGACCUCCAGCUCAAGUCUGAUAGGAUGGCUUGUAGACUUCAGUUAAACCCACAGUCUCCAGAGGAAGAGCCGCACUGCAAUGCCUCAUGGGAGGUGGUCCAUAGUGAGCAACGGCCAGAUGAGUGCCCUAACAGACAAACCAAGUUCCGCUUGUGGCCCCUGGGGGCCGUGUGGGUACUAAAGACUCUGAGGAGCCCAGUGUUCCUGGUCGUCCUGCUGGCUGUGUUCCUAGCCCUGCUGGUCUGGCCCACAACACUCAUGGACCCAGAGUGCCACCGCUCCAACUCCCUGGCCCGCUCCUUCCAACUGGCCCUGAGCUACGUCAAUGGGCCCCCGCCAACCUGAGGGACAAAAGUGUCACAGAUGGGGCACAACACACCCCUGGUGAGCCUGGAACACACCUGAUUCAGGGUCGGACAGUCCCAGAAUGCCUUUGCAUUUCAGAGCCUUCCGUAAUGCAUUAACAAGGAGGCUGUAUGAGAAAAGCGAGAAAUGAAGAACUGUUGGGCCCAAUCAAAAUGUUUGCUUGGUAUUUAUCUGAAUCCCUCCACCAACCUGCUGGCAGAAGUGGCCCAUGACUUAAUGGGCCUGAUUUGUAACGAUCUCUAAUGGCAUUCAUAAUGUGUCUUACUAUGCCAGGGUAGCACUUUUGUUGAUUGGUCUGUCAUGAUGGUUUUGUAACUUCUUUAUGUGGGUGAUUUAGAAUCUAUAUGGAAGACUUGAUGGCAAAUGCUUUGAGCAUUUCUCUUUGGGCAUUUGAUGAGACAAAGUACAAAUUUAUCUGCAUAUCAAUAUUUAUUAUGUCAAACCUGAAGAGAGCUUUUGAUUUAUCCGGUUCUAUCUGCAUUUAUGUCAAAAUUGAGUUAUUGACAUAACCUUGUUCUGUUCUCUACCUAUUUAGUACUUUAAAUACCCCAAUUUAUGUUAAGUUCAAAAGAGUGCAAGAUAACAUUGCUGACGCCAUUCAAACCAAUGCAGGUUCAGGAACUUUUUAAAGCCAAUUAUCUCAGAAUUAUAUUUUUGCAAAUAGAUCGUUUUAGUCCCAAGCUCUCAAUUUCUCAUGGGAUUUCUGCAGAUGAAUGAUACUGAAUGCCCGAGUUCGGAUUUACUAGGGAGACGUGCGGAAAUACCCCAUGUGUAAGUAAUUUGUAGGUCAAUGGGAUAGGUGACCUGGCUAAUGCACUUACAGUAGGAUAAAUUAGCAGUCAUUUUGUACUGCUGCAUGUGUGCGAUCUUGUUUGCGAUCUUGUUUGCAUGUGUGAGGGUUGUUAGUAUAUACUCAAUAAAUGUAUUUUACAUAUGCUGCGAUGCCAAAGGGGUCCAGCUGGAAAACAAUCAGCCAAAAGCCAAUGCAUCUGAGGCCAGUGAAGACAGUGUAAGCCUCUAAAUAUAAUGUAUGUGUUAUGUAAUGGUUUAUGGUCAGUGCUUCUAUUUUUGACACAGUGGAUGCAAUCCUGGAUCUCAUCUAUACAAUGUCACAAAUGUAAUGUCAAAGUCUGAUGUAAAUAAAAAUACAAAAUGUAAAAUGCAUUUUUACUCCAUAAUAUUAUGAGGUACAUGCACCUCAUCUGAAAAUGUUGAAAUAUGUCUGCCUUGUGCUUGUGGGGGAGUGAUUGCACAGAGUUUUGAUUCUUGUCCGUCCAGUGUGUAUCAGCGUGGAAAUGUUGCGAAAUGUAACAAGUCAGAUGCCUCCGCUUCUUGCAUUAAUGGAGGAUUUUUAAUCUUCCGCUUUAUACAGUAGAGAGGAUGUCUGUUUUUUAUGUGGAGUUCCAGAUCUGUACAUGCAUCAUGAAAUAAAAGAACAGUGUGAGAA
Molecule: long non-coding RNA, 2731 nt
Organism: Salmo trutta (river trout)
Lineage: Eukaryota; Metazoa; Chordata; Actinopteri; Salmoniformes; Salmonidae
Source: Ensembl